This 402-nucleotide long non-coding RNA is filed under the name Chinchilla lanigera (long-tailed chinchilla). Its description in RNAcentral is "lncRNA (ENSCLAG00000024051.1)". Lineage: Eukaryota; Metazoa; Chordata; Mammalia; Rodentia; Chinchillidae. The record is from RNAcentral.
GGCUGAAGGAAGGUGACUGGGUGAUAUUACCUCAGGAAAGAAGAGGAUUUGACACAGAAAGUUUGCCUGUUUGUGUCUCUCAGAAGCAGAUUCCAGGAUAAACAGUCGAGUGUUCGGGAGGCACAGGGGACACCAAUAAGGAAAUGAAGAUGGCUGGCAACCUUAAGGAGGAGGCCUUGGAAAGCCACCAACUGUAACAGAAAUAUAUAUAGUCAGAAUUGGUUGCUGCGGCUUGAAUGCUUCAUUACCUUCUGCCCAUCAUGAACUGUUUCUCUUUGGCACUGCCCCUCCACCACACCACCCUGCCUUGGAGCCAGCCAUGUAUGGACUGAAACCUCUACAAACUGUGAGCAAAAACAAAUCUUUCCUACUUUAACUUUGGGUGUCAGGUAUUUUGUCUCA